AUUGAACGCUGGCGGCAUGCCUUACACAUGCAAGUCGAACGGCAGCACGGGAGCAAUCCUGGUGGCGAGUGGCGAACGGGUGAGUAAUGUAUCGGAACGUGCCCAGUCGUGGGGGAUAACGUAGCGAAAGCUACGCUAAUACCGCAUACGAUCUGUGGAUGAAAGCGGGGGACCGUAAGGCCUCGCGCGAUUGGAGCGGCCGAUAACAGAUUAGGUAGUUGGUGGGGUAAAGGCCUACCAAGCCGACGAGCUGUAGCUGGUCUGAGAGGACGACCAGCCACACUGGGACUGAGAAACGGCCCAGACUCCUACGGGAGGCAGCAGUGGGGAAUUUUGGACAAUGGGCGCAAGCCUGAUCCAGCAAUGCCGCGUGCAGGAUGAAGGCCUUCGGGUUGUAAACUGCUUUUGUACGGAGCGAAAAGGCUCUCUCUGAUACAGGGGGCUCAUGACGGUACCGUAAGAAUAAGCACCGGCUAACUACGUGCCAGCCGCCGCAGUAA
Molecule: ribosomal RNA, 500 nt
Filed under: uncultured bacterium
Lineage: Bacteria
Description: partial 16S ribosomal RNA
Rfam family: Bacterial small subunit ribosomal RNA
Source: RNAcentral